Molecule: ribosomal RNA, 439 nt
Filed under: uncultured bacterium
Lineage: Bacteria
Description: partial 16S ribosomal RNA
Rfam family: Bacterial small subunit ribosomal RNA
Source: RNAcentral
CUACGGGCCGCACCAGUGGGGAAUAUUGCACAAUGGAGGAAACUCUGAUGCAGCAACGCCGCGUGGAGGAUGACACUUUUCGGAGCGUAAACUCCUUUUAUAUAGGAAGAAGAUGACGGUACUAUAUGAAUAAGCACCGGCUAACUCCGUGCCAGCAGCCGCGGUAAUACGGAGGGUGCAAGCGUUACUCGGAAUCACUGGGCGUAAGGGACGCGUAGGCGGGUUGGAAAGUCAGGUGUGAAAUCCUACAGCUUAACUGUAGAACUGCACUUGAAACUUCUAAUCUAGAGUAUGGGAGGGGGAGAUGGAAUUAGUGGUGUAGGGGUAAAAUCCGUAGAGAUCAGAAGGAAUACCGAUUGCGAAGGCGAUCUACUAGAACAUUAUUGACGCUGAGACGCGAAAGCGUGGGGAGCAAACAGGAUUAGAUACCCCAGUAGUC